UUUAGUUUCUAGAGAACACAUAUUUAACGCCAACAUUAAAAAAAAAAUUCCCUUGUUCCUAAACAACUUCAGAUAACAGGACCAGACUUCACAUGUCUCUAAUUUUUGUGGUAAUGAACAAAUUGUAUCAGAGAGGAAAAAAGGAAAAACUUAGUCCCAGCUCUGCUCACCUCUGAAAUCCACAAAUCUUCACCGAGCAAAACUGAUAGAAUAAGGAUGCAGCAAAGUAAGUUAUUCAUUAUUAUAUUACUGAGAUUCCCAGUAAAAAGGAGCUAUGCAUAUGAAUCAGGAUACUGAAGUUGGCUUUUGAUAUAGUCGCUCCUAUUUAUGAUACUAAUGAGUAAUGAUUGAUGUUGACCCCUCCCACCACCACCAUGACUAGUGCCAACAGGAGCCUACCUCUGCUGAUCUGUGUCAGAGAAUGGACCUUUGAUCUGGGGCAAAUGCACUUCUAUAAUCAGAAUUGACAUGUAGAAUUGCAGUUGAUUCUCACAUUUGGACUUCUAAUCAGAAUCUGCUUAGGCACUCACAUUUGGACUUGAUCAGAUACCAAGAGUAUAGGACACAAAAAAGAUAUUACUACAAAUUGUUUCCACAUAUAUCUAUCAUUUUCAUCACUUGAUUUUUUUAGCCACAUACUUGAUUGAUACCCUAAUCUCCAAUCUGAAUAACUUCCUUAGCCACAUACUGAAGUUGCCACCAUUUAACAAGUUCCUCAAGAGUAAGGUUUUGUCAGCAGGAAGUAAACAAUUGCAAGAUUGCUUGUUUCAUUCAAGGAUCAUCAGGCACCAGGUUGCCUAUCAAGGCAAGUGACGCCCUUAUAAGAGUAAAUUGACACGCUUAUGCAUCAAUUUCACUCCAAUUUUUUGUUUAUCG
RNAcentral lists this long non-coding RNA (876 nucleotides) under Musa acuminata (dwarf banana). RNAcentral describes it as "long non-coding RNA (MACU_LNC004415)". Lineage: Eukaryota; Viridiplantae; Streptophyta; Magnoliopsida; Zingiberales; Musaceae. The record is from RNAcentral.